RNA transcript from Solanum dulcamara, 4901 nucleotides. It is a transcript of the gene named pentatricopeptide repeat-containing protein At3g06430, chloroplastic-like, with no coding region annotated. The record is from RefSeq and is a predicted model, not a curated record. Lineage: Eukaryota; Viridiplantae; Streptophyta; Magnoliopsida; Solanales; Solanaceae. The transcript is spliced from 7 exons.
UAGAUAUUUUGAGUGGAGCAUUUACCUCAAUAUAAGAUAAGCAGUACCCUCUCCUCAACCAUUUCACACGAGAGAAUAGAGGAAUGACGAGCGCUUCCUUUACUUUAUCCUCCUCUUCCUCGCUUAUCCCCUCUCCUCUACCCAGCCCGACUUCUAUUGGUGGUCGCCGUCUUAUCAUCACCAGCGCCGGCGCCGGCGGACUCUUCCGCCUUCGCUGCGCUGUGGCCGCCACAACCUGUUCUUCUAGGAUUGCAUUUCAGAAGAAGAAACACUGGAAAGAAGGUGAAUACCCAGGUUUCUCUGAAGUUUCUGUUUCCCACCUGAACAACAAGAAGGGGAGGAGGACCCCUAUUAAGAAAAAAAUCGAUAGAAAGAAUACCGCCAAUCCUUGGGUCAAUACUGUUCCUGAAGCUCUUUCUGAUUGCAUUGAUAAAAAGCAAUGGCAACAAGCCCUUCAGGUAUUUGAGAUGUUAAAGAAGCAACCUUUUUAUCAACCAAAAGAAGGUACUUACAUGAGGCUCCUUGUUCUUCUUGGAAGAUGUGGACAACCAGGUCACGCUCAACAGCUUUUUGAUUCAAUGGUUGAAGAGGGACUGGAACCCACUUCAGAACUCUAUACCGCCUUGAUAGGUGCUUAUAGUAGAAGCAACCUACUUGAUAAAGCAUUUGCUCUUCUUCAUGCCAUGAUUGAGCUACCUCAUUGUCCGCCAGAUGUUUACACCUACAGUAUAUUAAUCAAGGCAUGUGUGGACGCCAGCCGAUUUGAUUUGGUUGAGUCACUUUAUGAACAAAUGGCUGAUCGUACCAUAGUUCCUAAUACUGUCACCCAAAAUAUAGUCUUGAGUGGUUAUGGUAGAGCAGGCAAGUAUGCAGAAAUGGAAAAAGUGCUUUUAGGGAUGCUAGAGAGUGCUGACAGCAAACCUGAUGUAUGGACUAUGAACACUAUCCUUAGCAUAUUUGGCAACAAGGGGCUGAUUGAAAUGAUGGAGAGAUGGUAUGAAAAAUUCCGUAAUUUUGGGAUUGAGCCAGAAACGCGGACAUUUAAUAUCCUCAUUGGUGCUUAUGGGAAGAAAAAGAUGUAUGAUAAAAUGUCUUCUGUAAUGGAGUACAUGCGUAAACUCUCAUUUCCAUGGACAACAUCAACAUUCAAUAAUGUCAUUGAGACGUUCUCAGAUGCAGGUGAUGCAAAGCAUAUGGAAUACGCCUUUGAUCAAAUGCGUGCAGAAGGGAUGAAAGCUGACACCAAGACCUUUUGCUGUCUCAUCAGAGGAUAUGCCAAUGCAGGCCUUUUUCAUAAGGUGAUCAACACUGUCCAGUUAGCUGGGAAAUUGGAGAUUCCUGAAAACACUUCCUUUUUCAAUUCUGUUAUUUAUGCGUGUGCAAAGGCUGAGGACGUAAUGGAGAUGGAGAGGGUUUUCAAGCGAAUGAAAGAUAAGCAAUGUCAACCUGAUCUCAUGACUUACUCUACUAUGAUUGAUGCAUACCAGAAAGAAUGCAUGACUGACAAAGUUUAUGAUUUGGAACAAGAAAAGCUCAUGAUUGUUGCCAUUCACUCCAAUGAUCGCUUCAAUGAUGAGGAAAAGCUAGAGCUGCUGCCUACUUGAGAGCUAAAGUCGUCCUUUUCUUUUUCAAGGAAAACAAGCAGCCUUAUUUCAUCCCAUUUCCAGAGAUCUCUGCUCCGUCCAACAGCAAGAAGGAAAAGAUUUGUUGAAAAGCUACUAACCUGGUCUGCCCUUGCAUGCAAUGAGAAUUCCGUCACUGUGGUUAGCUCCGGAAGGUCCUUUUUAUUCUAGCAGGAUGGUUGGUUUGUAUUUUGAGGCUUUCAUUUUGGGUUUGUGCCGUUAGGCGUUUUAACUUUGAACUUUUGGUCAAAGUUUGACAUCGGCCAACAUUCUUGGUAAACGUGCUCGGAUGAGAAUUUCAUCAGUGCGGUUAGCUUCGGAAGGUCCUUUUUAUUCUAGUAGGAUGGUUGGUUUGGAUUUUGAGGCUUUCAUUUUGAGUUUGUGCCGUUAGGCGUUUUAACUUUGAAGGUUUGGCCAAAAUUUGACUUUGGUCAACAUUCUUGGUAAACGUGCUCAAAUGAGAAUUCUGUCAGUGUGGUUAGCUCCGGAAGGUCCUUUUUAUAUAGGUAAGAUGGUUGGUAUGGAUUUUGAGGCUUUCAUUUUGAGUUUGUGUCGUUAAGCAUUUUAAAUUUAAAGUUUUAUUCAAAGUUUGACAUUGGCCAACAUUCUUAGAAAACAUGCUCGGAUGACAAUUCUGUCAGUGCGGUUAUCUCCAGAAGGUCCUAUUUAUUCUAGUAGGAUGAUUGGUUUGGAUUUUGAGACUUUCAUUUUGAGUUUGUGGCAUUAGGACUUAGGCGUUUUAACUUUAAGGUUUUGGCCAAAAUUUGAUCAACAUUCUUGGUAUAUGUGCUCAGAUGAGAAUUCCGUCGGUGUGGUUAGCUCCGGAAGGUCCUUUUUAUUAUAAUAGGAUGGUUGGUUCAGGUAUCGAGGCUUUCGUUUUGAGUUUGUGCAUUUAGGCGUUUUAACUCUUGAAGUUUUUGCCAAAGUUUUAAUGAUUGAACUGAAAAUUUAGUUGGACUGAUGAAUUUAUUACCUCCAGUGAGCUUCCCCUUCCUACUCGUCUUUAACUGGCUUAUUUGUACCCAGCUACAUGAUGGAAGUCCCCUCGGCCAAUCGUCACUUGACAGCAUAGUCCUUGAUGACCAUAAGCACUUUCUAUCUUGAAUUGACUCCUAAUUAAAUAUAAGUCUUUUCUAAAGAUACAAUCAAAUUCAUUAUAUAUAUGCUUUUUUGUAGAUCAAAAAUUUCUUCAUCUUCUCACAGGCAAAUCUUGAAGAACGUUCAAUCCAAAUUCUUUCUUUGAGAUUAGAAACUUUUGUAAUCUUAAACUUUGCUUAUCUAUGAGUAGCAAUGUCAUUAUUAAGUUUAUUGUUGCAGUGAUAAAAAUAUUUUUUGGAGUUUUAAACUGGCUGGAUAUCCUCUUAUGAUAUCCCCUGCAUCACAUGUUAAAUUUUUUUGUGAGCUAUACAUGUGAAAAUAAGUUAGUAUAAUUCUGUAUUGUCCAAUGGAAAGUUCUAUUAAGAAUGUGUCACAGAUUUCACCUUGUGGGUUAGUUACCUGGAGCCCUGGUCUAUUUCUAUGGAAGAAUUUGCAGAACUUGAUGCAGAUAUGGGGAAGUCUAACAGAAGUACAUUAAAGGAGGUUACCCCGCCAAUGCCACUUGGUUAUACCUCUUCUUGGCAAGUUUUUGUAUUAGCCAACUACUUAUACUACAGAUCUUUGGUCAUGCAUUUUAUUGGUUUUGCCCACAAGUUUCUUUACACAGAUCCAGAAGUGAUAGUCAAGAUGGUUUCAUAGGUGAUAACAGUAUUAACCUCAUCUACAGAACUGAUGGACCUCAUAAAAAAUGUGGAUUUCCUUCUAUUCAUGAGCAACUACAGGACUGGGAGGAUGGGCUAUCUGAGAUCUUUUUUACAUGAGAACUGGAACAAAGAUUUACGACUCUUCAGUGAUGGUGAAGAUGGUGGACAAAAGUUGCUCCAGUUGUUUGUAUUGCGAGCAGAAUCUGAACUGCAAUCAGUUGGUGGGGAAAAUCUUUCUCAAAACCUCCAGUGUUUGGACAGACUGAAAUCCCAGCUGUGCCAGUUAUUUGGUAGCCCUAUUAUGAAGUCCCAGAAUACUCUAGAGACUGUACAAUGUGAGUACUUGAGGGAUGAAAUCUUCAAACCCAGGAGUUUUGCAAAUAGAGCAAUGGUCGGUCGAUAUUAAAUACAAGGGUGAUUGGAUGAAGCGGCCUAUCUUAGAUGAUGAAAUUGGGUGGCUGGCAAAGGUGCUUGUAAAGCUAUCAGGCUGGUGGGGUUGAGCCAAGUCGAGAGCAGCCAAGAGAGUCCUUAUUGGUCAUAUGUUGACUUGUCCAGUGAUGCAACGAGUGUGUGCGGAUCCGUGGAAAUGAUUAAAGUUGUGUUGUGUUCUUUCAUUUCCCGGCUUCUUCUGUUACGUGGAGCUGGUGUGAGGUUCAUAAGAAAGUUGUGUGUUAAUGGUUGGAAAGAAGAUGAUGGAACCUUUACACAUGGAUAUUUGAUGGAACUCGAACAACACAUCAAUACUCGUCAUCCUAAUUGCGGAUUGCAAUCUCUACCACAUAUUUGUUCUAAAAUAAGAGUUGAAAAAAUGUUAUAUAGCUAUGGAUCUAUCUUAGUUAAUGAUCCAAAAGCUUGGAAUGACUUGAUAAAGGGGAUUUAUAAUUUUUAAAUUAUUAGCAAACUAAAGCUAGUUACUUAUAUUUUCUCUUGGUGAAUAUGACCUCUGUCUUUGGAGUAUUUUCAGUUAUUUCAUGUUGUUUAUUUUUUUCUUAGGUUGAUCCAUAUGCCAAGUCAAUUUUUUUCUUAGGUUGAUCCAUAUGCCAAGUCAAUGAACUUUAGGAAAUGGCCAUUAUUUGCUGAUUGGGAAGAGAUAUUUGGCAAUGAUAAAACUACUAGACAGUUUGUUGAGGGGCCAGAAGAUGUUGAAGAAAUAGAAAGAACUGUAGCUCAAGAAGUUGCUAAUAACAUGUCUUUGGAAUUUUCUAUUAUUGUUGUCGAUGAAGAUGAUGCUCCAGCUGAAGAAGAUCAAAUUGCUCAAGAGGAACCUAGUGUAUCAACUGAAGCAACACAAAGUUUAUGGUGUGCUUUUUAAGCAUCAAUGAAAUUGAUCGUAACACUAUGGUAUGAAUGAUUAUUAAUGAUAACUUUAAACCUUUGAAUGGCAUUUGGUAUAGCUAGCUUCUUUGUAAGGUUUAACCAUGGCCUAGUUCACUUUUAUUUUGUCUAUGUUCUAUGUGCUAUGUGCCAGUUUAUGUAAUUUAACAAUGAAUUAUGUAAGUUUCAUUCAUGAUAAAUGAAGAUGGGUGUAGUUUGAUUC